UCAAAGUACAAAGACGACUGAUAA
This 24-nucleotide non-coding RNA is filed under the name Arabidopsis thaliana (thale cress). The record is from RNAcentral. Lineage: Eukaryota; Viridiplantae; Streptophyta; Magnoliopsida; Brassicales; Brassicaceae.